AUAUCAAUAAGCGGAGGAAAAGAAACCAACAGGGAUUGCCCUAGUAACGGCGAGUGAAGCGGCAACAGCUCAAAUUUGAAAUCUGGCCUCGGCCCGAGUUGUAAUUUGUAGAGGAUGCUUUUGGUGCGGCGCCUUCUGAGUUCCUGGAACGGGACGCCAUAGAGGGUGAGAGCCCCGUAUGAGUCGGAUGCCAAGCUCGUCGU
This 203-nucleotide ribosomal RNA is filed under the name uncultured Fusarium. Its description in RNAcentral is "partial large subunit ribosomal RNA". It matches the Rfam family "Eukaryotic large subunit ribosomal RNA", at positions 40 to 249 of the family's 3401-position model. Lineage: Eukaryota; Fungi; Ascomycota; Sordariomycetes; Hypocreales; Nectriaceae. The record is from RNAcentral.